This 448-nucleotide ribosomal RNA is filed under the name uncultured bacterium. Its description in RNAcentral is "partial 16S ribosomal RNA". It matches the Rfam family "Bacterial small subunit ribosomal RNA", at positions 329 to 793 of the family's 1533-position model. The record is from RNAcentral.
UCCCAGACUCCUACGGGAGGCAGCAGUAAGGGAUAUUGCACAAUGGGGGAAACCCUGAUGCAGCGACGCCGCGUGAGUGAAGAAGUAAUUCGUUACGUAAAGCUCUCUCAGCAGGGAAGAGAAUGACGGUACCUGAGUAAGAAGCCCCGGCUAACUACGUGCCAGCAGCCGCGGUAAUACGUAGGGGGCAAGCGUUAUCCGGAUUUACUGGGUGUAAAGGGAGCGUAGACGGCUAUGCAAGUCUGGAGUGAAAGGCGGGGGCCCAACCCCCGGACUGCUCUGGAAACUGUAGAGCUAGAGUGCAGGAGAGGUAAGUGGAAUUCCUAGUGUAGCGGUGAAAUGCGUAGAUAUCAGGAGGAACAUCGGUGGCGUAAGCGCUUUACUGGGCCGUAAUUGACACUGAGGAACGAAAGCCAGGGUAGCAAAUGGGAUUAGAUACCCGAGUAUG